ACGGCAAUUUUCAAUGUAUUUACACAUUUAGAUAUUUCUCUUUUCUCUAUUUUGACUGUUUUACCUUUGCUUACCUUUCUAUUUACCAAAUAACGCAAUCCGACAACAUUGGUGUGUUUUCACCGCCGGAGCAGCUCUGUUCAGAUUCUUCUUGUUUUGUUGAAAUCAGAAGAAAUUAGCAGCAAAGGCCAGACUUGAAAGUACUAAAUUACCCAUCAAAAUCAACAUUUCAAACCUUCACCAAAUAUUUGUUUAAUUUUUGUCUGGGUUGGCUAUAUACUAUCCUUUCGGGUUUAGUUUCUUCCAUCAUUGAGAGUUUGUAAAAGAAAAUGGUUGUUUGGGAUAAGAGA
Molecule: long non-coding RNA, 350 nt
Organism: Arabidopsis thaliana (thale cress)
Lineage: Eukaryota; Viridiplantae; Streptophyta; Magnoliopsida; Brassicales; Brassicaceae
Product: other RNA
Exons: 1
Source: RefSeq